AUGCAUGUCAUUAAGUUUGUGAGUUCUUUCCACUAUAGUUGGUACCUUUAAGUCUUUCCUCUCUCUCUUUGCACCGAUCUGUGCAUAUCUAAUAGUAAUCUUAUCUGUCUUACACUGUAAAAUGUAAUAUUGUGUUUAAUUAAAAAUAUUAAAUAGGCUGAACUCAAUUUUUAUCAAUUUGUUAUUAGAACUCAAUUUAAAUAAGUUACCAGUACUUUUUAUGCAAAAAUGCUGAUAAACUCGAUUAAUUUGAGUUGUCCUAACUUAGAAAAACUAAGUAAGCUGGAAGUUUUGCUUCUCAGGGCGGAAGGAUGAAAGAUGUGUUUUGAAAAUGCCACGUGACUACCGUUCUCCUCCCUCCCGGAUCAGUCCGCAUGUUCAUGGCGCCAGCAUUUGUUAUGGAAUAUAUUGAGCAAACCUGGAGAUAUUAUUGUUGUCAUUGCUGUGGAUCUUUACUGACUUGGGUCGGGACCAGCACUCCUGCUGUUGGACAGAAAGACAUCAACUUGAGAUAUGACUCCAC
Molecule: long non-coding RNA, 523 nt
Organism: Oreochromis niloticus (Nile tilapia)
Lineage: Eukaryota; Metazoa; Chordata; Actinopteri; Cichliformes; Cichlidae
Exons: 3
Source: RefSeq, a predicted model, not a curated record